GUUUUAUGUAUGUAUAUAUAUGAAUAAAUGGAUGGUUUGCUAAUCAUUAAUAUACAAAGUUUGACAUUUAUAAUUAUGCUCUGAAUUAUUGAAUAUUCUACAAAUGAUGACAUAAUAAAUGAAAAUACUAAACCAGAACUAAGGGUUGAAGAGCAUUUAAUCUAUCAGAGUUACAUAGAACAUGCCCAUUGUGUAAAAUAUCAGACAGGAAAAUGAAUAUUAUCUGUAACUCUGAAAAAAGUUUGACAAAAAUUCCCCCCCCCCCCUUUUUUUUUUAUCAAAAUUACUUAUUUCAAUUUAACAGGAAAUGAAAACAGUUUUUUCCCCACUUCCGUUAGUUAAGAAAUUGUUGCUAUGUUUUUAAUAAUUAUUGCUAUGUUUUUUAAUAAUGCAAAAUUUGCUAUAUAAUUGGGUUGAACAAAAGAGAUCCAAGCACUUGUAAUUUCAGUAGCUAUUAUUUUCCUUCACACAAUUUUGCAAUGGUGUUAUUUAAGAUGUUACAUUUUGACCAAUAAUCAGUGAUUUACAAUAAUACAUUCAUUUCCGUAUUUACAGUAAUACUUUCAUUUAACUAGCAUCACAAUGAUGGACAUGUAAGUCAAUACAAAAAAAUAACAAACUUUUUCAAAAGUGAAAAAAUGCUGGAUUUCACAAAAGUUAUCUACUUGGCUUACUGGGAUUAAGCAAUGAUGACAAUCUCAUGAAAAUCAGCUGUUAGUUUUCAUCAUGGAUACUUUCCACUCUAAAGUUAGAGUGUAUCGCAACAUCAGAUUUUAAUCAGACUGAGUUUCCAAUCUCUGUGAAUUGGGAAAAAAUGUUCUUGAUUUGUUUGUAUGUUAUUUGAUAGUUUUGGCCAAUUCUGCAUAAAAGUCUACAGAAAAUUUGUAUUUUGUUGAAGACUUAAAAUUGAUGGCUAACCAAUGCAAGAGAAUUCAUGAAUACUUAGCCAAGAUAAAAAUAUAAUGAACCAUCAACAUCAAAAUAUCUAUAUUCUCAGUUACUGCUUGUGCAUCCAUUUAGAUUAAAAAAGAUUAAAUUUUCUUACAAAAAUACAGUUUAUACCAUGACAACAGCAUGAUGUCUUAUUUAUUAUAUAUAAACAAUGAACCAUACAAAAGUAAAGAAAUUCUGAAAUACGAAUAAAGUCCAUU
RNAcentral lists this long non-coding RNA (1151 nucleotides) under Mytilus galloprovincialis (Mediterranean mussel). The record is from RNAcentral. Lineage: Eukaryota; Metazoa; Mollusca; Bivalvia; Mytilida; Mytilidae.